AUCGCUUCUCGGCCUUUUGGCUAAGAUCAAGUGCAGUAUCUGUUCUUAUCAGUUUAAAGUUAAAAUUAACCAUAUUUAGCCACGUUUAAUGCACACUUUUUUUGCCCAAAUUUUUGAGGGCAAAAUAAAGAUCUGCAUUAUACAUGGGUAUAACAAUUACAUGCCAUGAGUAUAAUAAUCCCA
Molecule: small nuclear RNA, 183 nt
Organism: Artibeus jamaicensis (Jamaican fruit-eating bat)
Lineage: Eukaryota; Metazoa; Chordata; Mammalia; Chiroptera; Phyllostomidae
Product: U2 spliceosomal RNA
Exons: 1
Source: RefSeq, a predicted model, not a curated record